This 467-nucleotide ribosomal RNA is filed under the name uncultured bacterium. RNAcentral's name for it is "partial 16S ribosomal RNA". It matches the Rfam family "Bacterial small subunit ribosomal RNA", at positions 29 to 507 of the family's 1533-position model. The record is from RNAcentral.
ACGAACGCUGGCGGCGUGCUUCACCCCUGCAAGUCGAACGGAAAGGCCCUGCUUUUGUGGGGUGCUCGAGUGGCGAACGGGUGAGUAACACGUGAGUAACCUGCCCUUGACUUUGGGAUAACUUCAGGAAACUGGGGCUAAUACCGGAUAGGAGCUCCUGCUGCAUGGUGGGGGUUGGAAAGUUUCGGCGGUUGGGGAUGGACUCGCGGCUUAUCAGCUUGUUGGUGGGGUAGUGGCUUACCAAGGCUUUGACGGGUAGCCGGCCUGAGAGGGUGACCGGCCACAUUGGGACUGAGAUACGGCCCAGACUCAUACGGGAGGCAGCAGUGGGGAAUAUUGCACAAUGGGCGGAAGCCUGAUGCAGCAACGCCGCGUGCGGGAUGACGGCCUUCGGGUUGUAAACCGCUUUCGCCUGUGACGAAGCGUGAGUGACGGUAAUGGGUAAAGAAGCACCGGCUAACUACGUG